This is a long non-coding RNA of Magnolia sinica, 866 nucleotides long. RefSeq lists it as uncharacterized. The transcript is spliced from 4 exons. Lineage: Eukaryota; Viridiplantae; Streptophyta; Magnoliopsida; Magnoliales; Magnoliaceae. The record is from RefSeq and is a predicted model, not a curated record.
ACAUGAAGAAAACGUAGAAACAGGUCCCCUGGAAAUGCGUAUGUUGACGGCGAUGCAUCAAGUACGAGUUAUUUCCUAGUAAGCGCAGCAGUCACCGGUGGCACUAUCACAGUUGAAGGUUGCAACACAAGAAGUAUACAGCAUCAAACUAGCUGCAGUUGCUUCUCGUAAGGAACACAUAAAUCUGGAGCAAUGGCUGAAUGAAAAUUUGAGCACAUACAAGGAUACCUUUUUUGAGGAUUGCCUCAAGUUCUUAAAAGAUAUACCUUCUGCAGCAACAAAUGAUGCAUCUGCCAAUCCUUUCCAACAUUCCAGCUCUGUCAUGAAUCUUUAUCUAGAGACAAGUUCUACUCUUUUGAAGGUUUUUGCUUCCAAAAUUUCUUUUUCUAUUACCUAUACACAGUGUCAUAGAGAACUAUUAUGCAUAUUGUAGUUUACAUGAAUAUUUCACAGGUCCUUCAAGGCCAUUCUGGCCAGCUCAUCUCCCACCAACUUUUUGAGGAAUUGAGAAGAAAAUGCCGACUGCCAAUGAUAGUGAAGAGGAAGAUGAUGAGGUGCUCGAGCUGAAAGAACGACUGGCAGCGUAUAACAUUGAUUCUCCUUCAGAUCAAAUAGGUAUAUGAUCAUCCAUGUGUAGUAAGCUUUCGGAUCAAAGCGAAGCUGAGAAUAGGGUGUUAGUUGAUUGCAAAUUGAUAACCAGUAGAUGCACAUCCAUGGAGUUUUCGCUUGCGAUUGUUGAGAAGCUAUUUGGCUGCGAGAAGGCAUUGGAUCUUGCUGUUAAUGAGAACUUUAAAUAGACAUAUAACUAUUAUGUUGGCAUUGUACUUUUGUGAAAGAAAAUGAAUGAUUGUGUUUGAUUGAAUGAA